This is a non-coding RNA of Misgurnus anguillicaudatus (oriental weatherfish), 1727 nucleotides long. Lineage: Eukaryota; Metazoa; Chordata; Actinopteri; Cypriniformes; Cobitidae. The record is from RefSeq and is a predicted model, not a curated record.
UAUCUUCACUAGAUAGACUAUUUUUUUGUUUACAAUAUGUAGCCAUUGCAAUGACUUGUAGUAAAUAUUAGUUUGGAGGAGGUUGGUGGAGUAAGUCAGUCAAGCUCAUAAAGAAAAACACAGCGUUUUAAAAACGUCAGCUGUUUAAUGUUAUUUCACGUUUGGUAGUUUUAUCUGAGUUGAAAACUGUCAGCUUUGAGUUGACUUUUGAGGCACUUUUUACUCAGUUGUUCUAUGGAAACCUGUCAGGACAAAUAAAACGCUAACCAAAAGUUAUUCUGUCCAGAGUAACGUUAUCCAUGUAAGUAAUUUACCAGAUGAUAUCAAUUAACUACAUUAAUAAUGACAUUGCGUAUGAAACAAACGGUCUGCUUAAUCAGAUGAACAGACCCGCGUCAGUUAUUCAUGACUUCGCUACGCCACGAGCAACACUUGAUUCUAUUAGAAAAAGCUUUUUUAAAUGUCUCGCGUGACGUCUGGUAUAGUAAUUGAAAAAAAAAUCGCUUUGAAGUGCCACACCUUAAAGCUGACGUUUUCAGAAGAGCACCUUGUUGUUUUAAGAUCUCAUUUUGUCCAAAAUUGCGUCCUAUGACAGAUAUAAUACUUAUUUCAUUAUUGCUCUGUGUAUGUGUGGUCUUAAUCAUUUGAGGUUAUGUGUUGAUUUCACCUCUGAAUACUUCCUCUUAUAGGUCCAUCAUCCUUGCAUGUGCUACACAGCAUUGAUAAAUGCUGAAUUUGAAAGAAUCACUACUGUCUAAUGUUCCUGCGUGUCACCUGGACCUCCAAUCCAAAAACCUGAUGAAACUCUUCUAUCAGAAAGGAGGACAGCUAGCAAAAAAGGCUUCAAACAAUUAAUGAUCAAAUGACAGAUGGCAUGGAUGAAGUCAGCAUCAGUGAGGUCAUUUGAAGACACCAAUGUUGGGAUUUGUGCUCUCAAACAACAUGCUUCUUGUGAUGAAGAAGAGGAUCUUUGUAUAGUCCUGGAAGGCAUGAAGGUGUUGCAACAUCGUGCCAUGUUGUUUGAGCUGAUGUAUGCCUUAAACCUGAGCUAUCCUGAUCUCCGCUUUAUUUUUGAGGAAAUCCAAAAGAUUUUAAUGGAACUGCAUUGAGAGUAACUUUAACGAACAGUUUCUUUCAGUGAAAGGAUCAGAAAGACUGUGCUGCUCAUUUUUGACUUUGUUUAUCUGUUUUAAGUGUUUUCUCUUAUUAAUACAUUAACCGUUUGCUGCUCAGAGUCGAUUUUGGAAAUGGUUGUUGUAUUUUGUUUUUGUUGAAUCUAUGAUUAACAGUUUAUACAAAUGCUGUAGCUCUGACUUUCUGAAGGAGUGAUAUUUUCCAGUUUGUAAAUCCAUUUAAAAAAUAAUAGUACUUACUCUUUUGCAUGUCUCUUUGGAAUGCAGUGUUUGUGUUUUAGGACUUCUAAAUCUACUGUGAUAGUAACUAUUUUAAACAUUUGGGUCAGUUUCAUCCUAAUAUAACUAGGGCCUAGUCAUGAAUUAAUCUACAACCUGUUUGGGAAAUUGCCCCUUUAUGUAUGUACUGCAUGUGCUGAUUGUUGUAAUAGUUAUUGACUGUUAUUGAAUUAAUGUGUAGUGAUUUAAAUGAAUUGAUGAUCUGAAAGCAGUGGUUUGCCUCAAUAUCACUAAACAUUUGUACAAAACUCUUCACUUUUUAUGCCAAUGCAAAUGUAUUUUGUAUUUAAAAAGAAAUAAAUAACAUUUGGAUAA